AACCGGAUUAGAUACCCUGGUAGUCCAUGCCGUAAACGAUGAGUGCUAAGUGUUGGAGGGUUUCCGCCCUUCAGUGCUGCAGCUAACGCAUUAAGCACUCCGCCUGGGGAGUACGAUCGCAAGGUUGAAACUCAAAGGAAUUGACGGGGGCCCGCACAAGCGGUGGAGCAUGUGGUUUAAUUCGAUGCUACGCGAAGAACCUUACCAGGUCUUGACAUCUUCUGCCAACCUAAGAGAUUAGGCGUUCCCUUCGGGGACAGAAUGACAGGUGGUGCAUGGUUGUCGUCAGCUCGUGUCGUGAGAUGUUGGGUUAAGUCCCGCAACGAGCGCAACCCUUAUUGUUAGUUGCCAGCAUUUAGUUGGGCACUCUAGCAAGACUGCCGGUGACAAACCGGAGGAAGGUGGGGAUGACGUCAAAUCAUCAUGCCCCUUAU
This 434-nucleotide ribosomal RNA is filed under the name uncultured Lactobacillus sp. RNAcentral describes it as "bacterial SSU rRNA". It matches the Rfam family "Bacterial small subunit ribosomal RNA", at positions 771 to 1205 of the family's 1533-position model. Lineage: Bacteria; Bacillati; Bacillota; Bacilli; Lactobacillales; Lactobacillaceae. The record is from RNAcentral.